Molecule: long non-coding RNA, 806 nt
Filed under: Callithrix jacchus (white-tufted-ear marmoset)
Lineage: Eukaryota; Metazoa; Chordata; Mammalia; Primates; Cebidae
Description: lncRNA (ENSCJAG00000085109.1)
Source: RNAcentral
CAGAGGUCUCUUUUGAUCCCAUAGGAAGCUCUGGAGCUUGGGUCACCCUUCAGAAUUAGCUCCUGAGACCUUUUACGUUCAGGCUACUUCUUCCCUCAAAUGAAUAAAGAAGGAUCCAACUUCCCAGGAACCCAUAGGCCAUCAGAACAGCUCCUUCCUCAUAGCCAGAUUGCAUUGGGUCUGCCUGAAUAGGAUGCCAGCUGUGUGCCAUACAUGCUGUUGACGAGAGAAGAUUCUGCUUUGAAACCUAAGGUUGGUGUCAUAUCACCAGAAGAUCAACCAACCUGGAAGGCUAAGAGUGUCAUUUAUUGUAAAAGACUGGAUGAACCAUGGAGGGAAAGGCUGGAGUGCAGUGGUGCGAUCUCACCUCCCCAGGAUCAAGUGAUUCUCCACCUCAACUUCUAAGUAGCUGGCAGUACAGUGUGGAUGAGUAUCUGUACUGGUACCUUCUUUUCAAGCACUUUGAAGUACUUUGUAAGUAUGGAUGAACCGUGUCUAAUAAAGCAGUUGCCUGUUGAUAGACUUUUGGGUUGUUUUCAGUUUUUAAAAUCAUACAUGAUGCUUCAAUCAACAACUGUUGCAGGAGUGAGAUUUUAGUAGGAUGGUUACCAGAAGUAAAUAUACAGGGCUUUGACUUCUGAAGUAGACUUUUAUAUAUUUUUAAGCAUUGAGAGUCAUAUAGCAAUUUCGGUUGUUUUGCCUCACAAGAGCAGCUACAAGAUGGCACAACUAAAGAGGGAGAUGGGGUUAGUGAGAAGGUCAGGUGUCAAAUUCAACCUUUUGGCCUUAGGGGGCUGGAAAAUGAG